AGUGAACGCUGGCGGCAGGCCUAACACAUGCAAGUCGAGCGGCAGCGCGUCCGACCACCCUCGGGUGGUCGGAUGGCGGCGAGCGGCGGACGGGUGAGGAAUGCAUCGGAAUCUGCCUCGUUGUGGGGGAUAACGUAGGGAAACUUACGCUAAUACCGCAUACGACCUACGGGUGAAAGUGGGGGACCUUCGGGCCUCACGCGAUGAGAUGAGCCGAUGCCGGAUUAGCUAGUUGGCGGGGUAAAGGCCCACCAAGGCGACGAUCCGUAGCUGGUCUGAGAGGAUGAUCAGCCACACUGGAACUGAGACACGGUCCAGACUCCUACGGGAGGCAGCAGUGGGGAAUAUUGGACAAUGGGCGAAAGCCUGAUCCAGCAAUGCCGCGUGAGUGAUGAAGGCCUUAGGGUUGUAAAGCUCUUUUACCAGGGAUGAUAAUGACAGUACCUGGAGAAUAAGCUCCGGCUAACUCCGUGCCAGCAGCCGCGGUAA
Molecule: ribosomal RNA, 489 nt
Filed under: uncultured bacterium
Lineage: Bacteria
Description: bacterial SSU rRNA
Rfam family: Bacterial small subunit ribosomal RNA
Source: RNAcentral